AUAUCUCUCUGUACGGGAAGGAUGAGAAGCUUCGACUAAGGUUCGAUUCGAGCGCAGCGAGAAAGCGUUGCCGCAGGCAACGACCCGAAGGGCGAAGCGCGCAGCGCUGAGUAAUCCUUCCCCCACCA
This 128-nucleotide small RNA is filed under the name Salmonella enterica subsp. enterica serovar Muenchen. Its description in RNAcentral is "RtT sRNA". It matches the Rfam family "RtT RNA". From Rfam's summary of the family: This family represents a bacterial cis-regulatory element known as RtT RNA. Lineage: Bacteria; Pseudomonadati; Pseudomonadota; Gammaproteobacteria; Enterobacterales; Enterobacteriaceae. The record is from RNAcentral. RNAcentral also lists the same sequence under 2 other names.